This 72-nucleotide transfer RNA is filed under the name Apaloderma vittatum (bar-tailed trogon). It matches the Rfam family "tRNA". From Rfam's summary of the family: Transfer RNA (tRNA) molecules are approximately 80 nucleotides in length. Lineage: Eukaryota; Metazoa; Chordata; Aves; Trogoniformes; Trogonidae. The record is from Rfam by way of RNAcentral.
GGCUGGUUAGCUCAGUCAGUUGAGUGUGGCACUAACAGCGCUAAGGUCACAGGUUCGAUUCCUGUUCAGUCC